Molecule: long non-coding RNA, 148 nt
Organism: Etheostoma spectabile (orangethroat darter)
Lineage: Eukaryota; Metazoa; Chordata; Actinopteri; Perciformes; Percidae
Exons: 3
Source: RefSeq, a predicted model, not a curated record
CUUCACUUCCAACAAUGUUUGUAACCUGUUACGUCUUCUCCUCACAAGAAUAAACACACAGAGCAGGUCAAGGUCUUGUCUCUUUGCCAAAAUGUUCUUCUUUUACUUCAUUCAUCGUUUAAUGAGUACAGUGAGAGACAAAUAAAUA